This 254-nucleotide ribosomal RNA is filed under the name uncultured bacterium. RNAcentral's name for it is "partial 16S ribosomal RNA". It matches the Rfam family "Bacterial small subunit ribosomal RNA", at positions 524 to 776 of the family's 1533-position model. The record is from RNAcentral.
UACGUAGGGUGCGAGCGUUAAUCGGAAUUACUGGGCGUAAAGCGUGCGCAGGCGGUUUUGUAAGCCAGAUGUGAAAUCCCCGGGCUUAACCUGGGAAUGGCAUUUGGGACUGCAAGGCUCGAGUGCGGCAGAGGAGACUGGAAUUCCUGGUGUAGCAGUGAAAUGCGUAGAUAUCAGGAGGAACACCUGAGGUGAAGACGGGUUGCUGGGCCGACACUGACGCUGAUAGCGCGAAAGCCAGGGGAGCAAACGGG